GGCGGUGUAGCUCAGUUGGUUAGAGCAGCGGAAUCAUAAUCCGCGAGUCGGGGGUUCAAAUCCCUCCACCGCUACCC
This 77-nucleotide transfer RNA is filed under the name Planctomycetota bacterium. RNAcentral describes it as "Planctomycetes bacterium tRNA-Met". It matches the Rfam family "tRNA". Rfam says of the family: Transfer RNA (tRNA) molecules are approximately 80 nucleotides in length. Their secondary structure includes four short double-helical elements and three loops (D, anti-codon, and T loops). Lineage: Bacteria; Pseudomonadati; Planctomycetota. The record is from RNAcentral.